This 253-nucleotide ribosomal RNA is filed under the name uncultured bacterium. RNAcentral's name for it is "partial 16S ribosomal RNA". It matches the Rfam family "Bacterial small subunit ribosomal RNA", at positions 524 to 776 of the family's 1533-position model. The record is from RNAcentral.
UACGGAGGGUCCAAGCGUUAUCCGGAUUCAUUGGGUUUAAAGGGUGCGUAGGCGGUUAAAUAAGCCAGUGGUGAAAGCUCGUCGCUCAACGAUGAAAUUGCCAUUGGAACUGUAUAACUUGAGUACGAUUGAAGUAGGCGGAAUAAAUAGUGUAGCGGUGAAAUGCAUAGAUAUUAUUUAGAACACCAAUUGCGAAGGCAGCUUACUAAGUCGUUACUGACGCUGAUGCACGAAAGCGUGGGGAGCGAACAGG